CGGUUCUGGCAUCGAUGAAGAACGCAGCGAAAUGCGAUAAGUAAUGCGAAUUGCAAAAUUCCAGUGAGUCAUCGAAUCUUUGAACGCACAUUGCGCCCUUUGGUAUUCCGAAGGGCAUGCCUGUUCGAGCGUCAUUAUCACCCCUCAAGCCCCGUGCUUAGUGUUGGACGGCCGGUCGAGGUUCGCCCCGACCCCUCCUAAAGACAAUGACGGCGGCCUGUGGUUCCCCCUGUACACUGAGCUUUUCACAGAGCACGGGCCGGACGAGGGCGCCCGGGUCACGGUCCCCUCCCCCCCGUGAGGAAAUAUUUUUCAAGGUUGACCUCGGAUCAGGUAGGAAUACGCGCUGA
RNAcentral lists this unclassified non-coding RNA (350 nucleotides) under uncultured fungus. RNAcentral's name for it is "partial contains 5.8S ribosomal RNA and internal transcribed spacer 2". The stretch from base 2 to 134 matches the Rfam family "5.8S ribosomal RNA", at positions 23 to 154 of the family's 154-position model. Lineage: Eukaryota; Fungi. The record is from RNAcentral.